Molecule: ribosomal RNA, 499 nt
Filed under: uncultured bacterium
Lineage: Bacteria
Description: bacterial SSU rRNA
Rfam family: Bacterial small subunit ribosomal RNA
Source: RNAcentral
GAUUAACGCUGGCGGCAUGCCUAAUACAUGCAAGUCGAGCGGAAGCAGCAAUGCUUUAGUGGCGAACGGGUGAGUAACACGUAGGGAACCUACCUAUACGACGAGGAUAACUACUGGAAACGGUAGCUAAAACUGGAUAGGAUCAAUUGAGGCAUCUUGAUUGAUUUAAAGAUCCUUCGGGAUUACGUAGAGAUGGCCCUGCGGCGCAUUAGCUAGUUGGUGAGGUAACGGCCCACCAAGGCGACGAUGCGUAGCUGAGCUGAGAGGCUAAACAGCCACACUGGGACUGAGACACGGCCCAGACUCCUACGGGAGGCAGCAGUAGGGAAUUUUCGGCAAUGGGGGAAACCCUGACCGAGCAAUGCCGCGUGAACGAUGAAGGUCUUCGGAUUGUAAAGUUCUGUGAUUGGGGAAGAAUGGUAUUCUUAGGGAAUGAGGAGUACAUGACGGUACCCGAUUAGAAAGCCCCGGCUAACUAUGUGCCAGCAGCCGCGGUAAA